Molecule: ribosomal RNA, 520 nt
Filed under: uncultured bacterium
Lineage: Bacteria
Description: bacterial SSU rRNA
Rfam family: Bacterial small subunit ribosomal RNA
Source: RNAcentral
UUAUUGGGCGUAAAGCGAGCGCAGGCGGUUAGAUAAGUCUGAAGUUAAAGGCUGUGGCUUAACCAUAGUACGCUUUGGAAACUGUUUAACUUGAGUGCAAGAGGGGAGAGUGGAAUUCCAUGUGUAGCGGUGAAAUGCGUAGAUAUAUGGAGGAACACCGGUGGCGAAAGCGGCUCUCUGGCUUGUAACUGACGCUGAGGCUCGAAAGCGUGGGGAGCAAACAGGAUUAGAUACUCUGGUAGUCCACGCCGUAAACGAUGAGUGCUAGGUGUUAGACCCUUUCCGGGGUUUAGUGCCGCAGCUAACGCAUUAAGCACUCCGCCUGGGGAGUACGACCGCAAGGUUGAAACUCAAAGGAAUUGACGGGGGCCCGCACAAGCGGUGGAGCAUGUGGUUUAAUUCGAAGCAACGCGAAGAACCUUACCAGGUCUUGACAUCCCUCUGACCGCUCUAGAGAUAGAGUUUUCCUUCGGGACAGAGGUGACAGGUGGUGCAUGGUUGUCGUCAGCUCGUGUCGUGA